This is a long non-coding RNA of Thalassophryne amazonica, 205 nucleotides long. RefSeq lists it as uncharacterized. The record is from RefSeq and is a predicted model, not a curated record. NCBI's taxonomy places the organism in Eukaryota, Metazoa, Chordata, Actinopteri, Batrachoidiformes, Batrachoididae. The transcript has 4 exons.
GAAGAAAUCAUGCUUGUCCAAUUUAUAUUUAUCUUUUAAUGCCGUAAAGCUUUGUAUUGUGUUCUUUCCCAUUAUGUUGCAAUAAGCUGUGAUACCUUUAAUUUUCCAAGAUUUAAAAUUUGAAUCCAUACAAUUUGGUUUAAACUUUGUGUCAUAUGCAAUCAUCUGAGUUUUUUUUGUCUAAUUGUUAAGUUUAGUUUUUUCA